UACGUAGGGUGCGAGCGUUAAUCGGAAUUACUGGGCGUAAAGCGUGCGCAGGCGGUUCGUUGUGUCGGUGGUGAAAUCCCCGGGCUUAACCUGGGAAUGGCCAUGGAAACUGGCGAACUGGAGUGCGGCAGAGGGGGGUGGAAUUCCGCGUGUAGCAGUGAAAUGCGUAGAUAUCGGGAGGAACACCUAUGGCGAAAGCAGGUUUCUGGUCCGUCACUGACGCUGAGCUGCGAAAGCUAGGGGAGCAAACAGG
RNAcentral lists this ribosomal RNA (253 nucleotides) under uncultured bacterium. RNAcentral's name for it is "partial 16S ribosomal RNA". It matches the Rfam family "Bacterial small subunit ribosomal RNA", at positions 524 to 776 of the family's 1533-position model. The record is from RNAcentral.